CAGUCGCCGCGGGAAUACGAAGGGGGCUAGCGUUGUUCGGAUUUACUGGGCGUAAAGCGCACGUAGGCGGACUUUUAAGUCAGGGGUGAAAUCCCGGGGCUCAACCCCGGAACUGCCUUUGAUACUGGGAGUCUUGAGUUCGAGAGAGGUGAGUGGAAUUGCGAGUGUGGAGGUGAAAUUCGUAGAUAUUCGCAGGAACACCAGUGGCGAAGGCGGCUCACUGGCUCGAUACUGACGCUGAGGUGCGAAAGCGUGGGGAGCAAACAGGAUUAGAUACCCCCGUAGUCCCUGUCUCUUAUAC
RNAcentral lists this ribosomal RNA (301 nucleotides) under uncultured bacterium. RNAcentral's name for it is "partial 16S ribosomal RNA". It matches the Rfam family "Bacterial small subunit ribosomal RNA", at positions 509 to 807 of the family's 1533-position model. The record is from RNAcentral.